GUUCCUUCGGGGACAUCUGAUAAAAUCGGAACGAUACAGAGAAGAUCAACAUGACCCUUACGCAAGGAUGACACAGAGAAAAAUCGAGAAAUGACCCAAUACU
Capsicum annuum is the source of this 103-nucleotide non-coding RNA. Lineage: Eukaryota; Viridiplantae; Streptophyta; Magnoliopsida; Solanales; Solanaceae. The record is from Rfam.